This 1539-nucleotide ribosomal RNA is filed under the name human gut metagenome. Its description in RNAcentral is "bacterial LSU rRNA". It matches the Rfam family "Bacterial large subunit ribosomal RNA", at positions 431 to 1989 of the family's 2925-position model. The record is from RNAcentral.
AUCCGGUGGGAAGCCGGGAGGACCACCUCCCAAGCCUAAAUACGAAUUGGUGACCGAUAGCGCAUAGUACCGUGAGGGAAAGGUGAAAAGAACCCCGGGAGGGGAGUGAAAAAGAACCUGAAACCCUGUGCUUACAAGCAGAGAGAGCACGAUCAAGUGUGAUCUCGUACUUUUUGUAGAACGGACCGGCGAGUUACGUUAUGCAGCGAGGUUAAGGACUGAAGGUCUGGAGCCGAAGCGAAAGCGAGUCUGAACAGGGCGGAUAGUUGCAUGACGUAGACCCGAAACCGGGUGACCUAUCCAUGGGCAGGUUGAAGUGGAAGUAAAAUUUCAUGGAGGACCGAACCAGACGUCUGUUGAAAAAGGCGGGGAUGACCUGUGGAUAGCGGAGAAAUUCCAAUCGAACCCGGAGAUAGCUGGUUCUCCUCGAAAUAGCUUUAGGGCUAGCCUCGCAUUAGUUUACCGGAGGUAGAGCACUGAAUGGUCUAGGGGGCCUCACCGCCUACCGAAACCUAUCAAACUGCGAAUGCCGGAUAAAUGAUGUGCGGGAGUCAGGCCGCGAGAGAUAAGUUCCGCGGUCAAAAGGGGAACACCCCAGAUCGUCUGCUAAGGUCCCCAAGUACGCGUUAAGUGGGAAAGGAUGUUGGAUUGCACAGACAACCAGGAUGUUGGCUUAGAAGCAGCCACACAUUCAAAGAGUGCGUAAUAGCUCACUGGUCGAGUGAUCCAGCGCCGAAAAUGUAACGGGGCUAAAACGCGACACCGAAGCAGCGGGAUGCGUAAGCAUCGGUAGAGGAGCAUUGUGUGAGGAUAGAAGCCAGAGCGGGAGCACUGGUGGACUUCACAGAAGAGAGAAUGCCGGUAUGAGUAGCGAGACCCAUGCGAGAAACAUGGGCGUCGAAGGCCCAAGGUUUCCUGGGGAAGGUUCAUCCACCCAGGGUAAGUCGGGACCUAAGCCGAGGACUGAGGUCGUAGGCGAUGGACAGCAGGUAGAGAUUCCUGCACCACUUACACUUGUUUGACGAAGCAGUGACACAGAAGGAUAGGACGAGCGCGGUGAUGGUCAACCGCGUAGGCGGCACGAGGCCGGGGAGCAGUGAAGUACACUUCCCGCAAAGGCUGAGUGUUGACAGGACCGAAAAGAAGUAGGGAAGCGUCCGAGUUCACGCUGGCGAGAAAAGCUGCUAAGGAGAGUGUGAGUGCCCGUACCGGAAACCGACGCAGGUGGGCGAGGAGAGAAUCCUGAGACGGACGGGAGAACUCUUGUUAAGGAACUCGGCAAAAUGACCCCGUAACUUCGGGAGAAGGGGUGCCUCGAAAGAGGCCGCAGAGAAUUGGCCCAAGCAACUGUUUAGCAAAAACACAGGUCUAUGCGAAACCGAAAGGUGAGGUAUAUGGGCUGACACCUGCCCGGUGCUGGAAGGUUAAGGGGAGUGCUCAGGAGCAAUCCGAAGGUGCGAACUUAAGCCCCAGUAAACGGCGGCCGUAACUAUAACGGUCCUAAGGUAGCGAAAUUCCUUGUCGGGUAAGUUCCGACCC